This is a long non-coding RNA of Physella acuta, 1115 nucleotides long. RefSeq lists it as uncharacterized. Lineage: Eukaryota; Metazoa; Mollusca; Gastropoda; Physidae. The record is from RefSeq and is a predicted model, not a curated record.
UCGUUUUUUUUUUUCCAUUAUCUCUCAAUUAAGGAUGCACCUCGAGCUACUGCUAAUCUACGUUUAAGAAGUCUGAUCCAGUUUAAUUAACUAAGCACAACGGUGAACUUUGCACGGGGCAAAUUUAAAGAAAUCCACAAUUGAAUUGACAUUUAUCUAUUUUUUAAUCUUUAAAUAGUGUGUAUGUAUUGAUGUUUGAAUCAGUUAUUUAUCAACUUCACCUGUUGAAUGUAACUAUUAGAACUUUUAGAACUUUAGUUCCUAAGUGUAUUAAGAAACAGCAGUUUUAAAACAAGAUGACCGACUUCAAAAAGUUAACAGCCGUGAAACUUGUUGUCUUGUAUCUGAUUGGACAAUCCUUCAACCUAGCCGCGUCCCAGUCGUCGACAACAGCGACCCCUGACGCCAAAACUAAAAGGUUCCACGACGCCAUCAUGUCUUGUACCGACCUGUGCCAGUUCGCCGUCCGGACAUGUUUGAAUGCGACGUCUCAAGUCCGAUACCUGAUGGCCAAGGAACGAUACUGUGACGUCAUAAACCUGACUUCCGAAGGUGUAGUUAUACGCCAAUGUCUGACUCAGGUGUAUGCCUGCACACAGAGUGAGUUUAACGUGAUCAAGGCCGCUGCUUGUAGUGGUGCCAAGUCUAUGUUUGUGUUGGCUCUGUCUACGGGUGUGGUGACUCUCUCUACGGGUGUGUUGGCUCUGUCUGUGGUUUUCAUGGCUCUCUCUAUGGUUGUGAUGGCUCUGUGCUUUAGUUGUGGCUGUGUGUUUCAGUAACGUGUCCCCCGCCUCACCCCCACCCCAGUCACCAUCAAAGACAUACAUAAACACGUACAACUUUAAAUAUAAAAUUACAUAACCAGUGACUCGCCAACAUGUCAUAUGGCCACGCCAUACAUACAGCAAACGUCAUGCCCCAUGGCCAUGACGUACAAUGAACGUCACGUCAAAUAAGAUUACCUUACAGCAAAUACAUACAACAUUCCUAUGCCGUACAACAAACGGCAGACCACCUGACCACGCCGUACAGUAAAUAUCAUGCCGCAUGGUAGGAGAUUAAAUACUUUCCUCUUAUUUCUUUGACAUCACAUUAAAAUGGAACAAUUACAAAUU